Molecule: small nuclear RNA, 146 nt
Organism: Toxorhynchites rutilus septentrionalis
Lineage: Eukaryota; Metazoa; Arthropoda; Insecta; Diptera; Culicidae
Product: U4 spliceosomal RNA
Exons: 1
Source: RefSeq, a predicted model, not a curated record
AGCUUUGCGCAGUGGCGAUAUCGUAACCAAUGAGGUACAUCCGAGGUGCGAUUAUUGCUAGUUGAAAAAAUGAAUCACAGAAUUCCACAAAAUCAUGUUUUCUUUGUUCAAACUUUGCAAAUUUCUUCAUUACGUCGUGAUUUAAA